This 1028-nucleotide long non-coding RNA is filed under the name Sphaeramia orbicularis (orbiculate cardinalfish). RNAcentral describes it as "lncRNA (ENSSORG00005023008.1)". Lineage: Eukaryota; Metazoa; Chordata; Actinopteri; Kurtiformes; Apogonidae. The record is from RNAcentral.
UAAAGAUUUACACACCCUGGAGCCAAUCACAGUAGGUUUAUUGUGUUGUCUGUGUGUGAUUGGAUGAUUUUCUGUGUCUUACAGUCACAUAUGUAGGACCAGAAGGAUCCAAAUAUAUUAGUUUAUGGAACAUGUACAUUUAUCAUCAACUAAAAGCUGUCACAGACAUGACGAAAAAAAAUCCCAUUUAAAGUUCUAGAAAUUAUUCAGUAAUGUAUAGAAAUUAACAGAUUUAUUCAUAGAUGAAUCAGUAAUAAAUGGAUUGAUGAUUAAUUUGAAGCAGAAUCAGUGUUUUCUGCUGCACAUUUACACUGUGUCAAAGCAUCAAUGUGACGACCAAACAAACGAGCCAAUCACCAUCCAGUAACAUGUCAUGUGACUGUUCAGAGCUCCUCCCACUGCAGGCGUUGACACCUGAUGUCUUUUCAGGUGAGACUCAGACUGAUCCUGGAAACAGCUCAGCGGUGACGAACACAAACCCUUUUAUGUUGGACGUCCACAGACAUUCCAACUAAGCUCCUCCCACUGGUGCUGGUGGAACCUGUGGGACCAGGUGAGGUUCUGUUCCAUUCCAGGACACAGUUCACCUGAGACACACCAACACUUGGACUCUUCCAUCAGCCUUCCACAGGUCAGUUUUCUCUUCUUUCUCUGGGUUCAGUCUCAUCUUUGUGCUGUUUGAUUGGUUCUCCAUAAACUUUCACCAGUUUAGUGUCGUUUAUUACUGGUUCAAACUGGUUUUGUUGCAGUUCAACCAUUGGAUGAUGUUCCAUCAGCUCCAUUUGUCUUUGCAGAUUCAGGAAAUCCCCUCCGAUGUCUGACUGGGACACUCAUGUGGGCUGAAGUGGUCCAGAACAGGAGUGAGUUUCACUGGACCAUUGGGGACAUUUCCAUCACAGCGUCAUGAACACAGUGAGUCUGUCCCAAACUCAAAUGUUUGUUGUGUAAAUGACGCUGACAGAGCAGAACCUUGUGCAGUAGAACCUGAACAGAACACAUCAAACACAUGUUCAACACACAACAUGGAU